CAGUAGCCACGGUAAAACGUAGGUGGCAAGCGUUGUCCGGAAUUAUUGGGCGUAAAGGGCUCGCAGGCGGUUUCUUAAGUCUGAUGUGAAAGCCCCCGGCUCAACCGGGGAGGGUCAUUGGAAACUGGGAAACUUGAGUGCAGAAGAGGAGAGUGGAAUUCCACGUGUAGCGGUGAAAUGCGUAGAGAUGUGGAGGAACACCAGUGGCGAAGGCGACUCUCUGGUCUGUAACUGACGCUGAGGAGCGAAAGCGUGGAGAGCGAACAGGAUUAGAUACCCGUGUAGUCCCUGUCUCUUAUAC
This 301-nucleotide ribosomal RNA is filed under the name uncultured bacterium. RNAcentral's name for it is "partial 16S ribosomal RNA". It matches the Rfam family "Bacterial small subunit ribosomal RNA", at positions 509 to 807 of the family's 1533-position model. The record is from RNAcentral.